RNAcentral lists this unclassified non-coding RNA (402 nucleotides) under soil metagenome. RNAcentral describes it as "partial contains 5.8S ribosomal RNA, internal transcribed spacer 2, and large subunit ribosomal RNA". The stretch from base 1 to 121 matches the Rfam family "5.8S ribosomal RNA", at positions 35 to 154 of the family's 154-position model. The record is from RNAcentral.
GAUGAAGAACGCAGCGAAAUGCGAUAAGUAAUGUGAAUUGCAGAAUUCAGUGAAUCAUCGAAUCUUUGAACGCACCUUGCGCCCUUUGGUCAUUCCGAAGGGCAUGCCUGUUUGAGUAUCAUGAACACCUCAACUCUCAUGGCUCGCCAUGAUGAGCUUGGACUUUGGGGGUCUUGCUGGCCUGUGGUCGGCUCCUCUCAAAUGGAUCAGCUUGCCAGUGUUUGGUGGCAUCACAGGUGUGAUAACUAUCUGCGCUUGUGGUUUUCCAUCAGAUAACCUUCAGUGAUGGAGGUUCGCUGGAGCUCAUAAACGUCUCCCCUAAGCGGGGACAGCCCUUUGAAUGUUUGAUCUCAAAUCAGGUAGGACUACCCGCUGAACUUAAGCAUAUCAAUAAGCGGAGGA